Molecule: ribosomal RNA, 447 nt
Filed under: uncultured bacterium
Lineage: Bacteria
Description: partial 16S ribosomal RNA
Rfam family: Bacterial small subunit ribosomal RNA
Source: RNAcentral
AACGAACGCUGGCGGCAGGCUUAACACAUGCAAGUCGAGCGCCCCGCAAGGGGAGCGGCAGACGGGUGAGUAACACGUGGGAAUCUACCCAUCCCUACGGAACAACUCCGGGAAACUGGAGCUAAUACCGUAUACGCCCUUUGGUGGAAAGAUUUAUCGGGGAUGGAUGAGCCCGCGUGGGAUUAGCUAGUUGGUGGGGUAAAGGCCUACCAAGGCGACGAUCCAUAGCUGGUCUGAGAGGAUGAUCAGCCACAUUGGGACUGAGACACGGCCCAAACUCCUACGGGAGGCAGCAGUGGGGAAUAUUGGACAAUGGGCGCAAGCCUGAUCCAGCCAUGCCGCGUGAAUGAUGAAGGCCUUAGGGUUGUAAAGUUCUUUCACCGAUGAAGAUAAUGACGGUAGUCGGAGAAGAAGCCCCGGCUAACUUCGUGCCAGCAGCCGCCGUAA